AAAUAUAAUAGUAUAUUGAGAAAUAAUAUAGAUUCACACUAGUGAAAUGUACAUCUAUUUCCUAUUUAAAUAGGUCUACAUUCCCUAACUCUAUCUUAAUAUAUUAAGAUUUUAUUUAUGUAAUAGUUGGCAGCAUAUUAUAACUCAUUAUAUUUAUUUUAACCAACAAAAUCCAUCUGGCAACAAUUGGCUGCCUAGGAGCUGUUGCUAUCAUCAUUCAAACAUGGCGGCCGUAUGUAAAUCCGCCAGCGAAAACAUGAUCAUACCCUCGAUUCAUUAUUCAAACUCAGAAAUGCCAACAAAAGGUUAGAUCUAUAUGUUUGGAAAGAAAAAAACGUUACUGUAAGCCCAGAGGAAGACAUGCUUCAAAGACAAAUGCAUAAUUACAAAGCUCUGUUUUGGAUACAGCUGGAUCUGAAGCAGCAACAACGCAGCCUGCAAGUGCAGCUGAACGAAAAAUAAUUCUAACUGCAAUUACUAACGCUGAUAACACCAAUAAGAGGCUGCCUGAAGAUUUCAUAUACGUCAUGAUGAAUUCAAUGGAAUUGACCACAAUGGUCUCCUUGUUGUGCUGUCCACAUUGCUUCGACAAAAAAUUAACCAUGUGCAUCACACAAUCAAAAGGCAUGGUUCAUUUGAUUAAAAUCAAAUGCCUAAAUUGUGAAACAUAUUUGUGGCCUGACUGGACCUCAAAAAAAAGUAAUAAUGUUCAUCUGGAUAUUAAUGUCCGCGCUGUCGCUGCAUUAAAAGAAUCUGGAAUCUCGCAUUCUAAAUUUGAUAGGUUUUGUGGACUUAUGAGUAUGCCCUGCAUGCACAGAAAUACUUAUAACAAUCUAGCUAACAUAGUCAACACUGCUAUAAUUGAAGCUGGUGAAGAAUGUAUGAUUAGGGCAUCUGCUGUUGUGCAUGGAAGAAACAUUUCACAACCUCUGACUACAGAUGAUAGAAUAAGUUCAACAGGCUGUCCUGUUAUUACAGUUUCUUUUGAUGGGACUUGGCAUAAAAGGGGCCACUCAUCUCAUUCAGGAAUUGGCAGUUAUUGAUUUUGAUACUGGACUCGCCAUCGACACCGAAGUCCUAUCAAAUUAUUGCUGUGUUUGUGUUUCAAACUCUGCAGAACUAAAUUUUGAUGCCUCUAAGCAUAUGUGUCAAAAAAACUUCAGUGGCUCAGCAAAUGCAAUGGAGGCCGCAGCAGCAUCCAAAAUUUGUUCUCACUCUGUGGCAUCAGAAAACUUGUUUAUGGCAUGAUGCUGUGUGAUGGUGAUAGUAAAUCACAUUCAUCUGCCAUUACCAGCUCAGGAUAUGAUGUAGAAAUCUUAAAAGAGGACUGCAUUAACCACAUCUCAAAAAGAAUGUUUAAUGCUUUGAACAAUUUAAAAAUGUCUAACAAAAAAGAACUAAAUUAUAGGCUUACAAAGCCAAAAAUUGAAAAAAUUACAAAUAACUAUUCCAAAGUUCUGCGCCAAAAUGCUCCUGACAUUCAAAAAAAUGAAGCUGGCUGUUAUGGGCUCAUUUUUUUAUAUGAUGAGCUCAGACCUAGAUCAUAACCACAGGUUGUGUCCUGAUGGCACUACAUCUUGGUGUCACACUUUAAGAGAUCAGAGGCACUAAAACAGCCAUACAAAAAACAUAAUCAGACCAUCACAUCAGAAAUAGGAAAACUGUUAUUUCCUAUAACAGACACAGAUCUGUUAAAAACAUGUUCAAGAAUGGGAACACAAAACGCCAAUGAAUCUUUUCAUUCCCUAAUUUGGCAAAGAUGCCCCAAAACAGAAUUCGCAACAUUAAAAACUAAGGACGGCGACAUACCUUGCUGUUUUAGCCUGUUGGCAUCAGUUUUUGACAUAUUAGGCGUUCCCUGGACACUAAAGAACAUUUCUUCUAGUGAGAAAAAGCAAAAUGUCAAACUACAGCUUGUUGUUAGAAAAAAAAGAUCAAUCACAUAAGUGUCCAGGAGAAAAAAAUUGAAAAAAUGAAGAAUUGAGCAUGAGCACCGGGCAGAGGUUCUCGAAGGUCCAACCUAUCAAUCAGGCCAUUUUAAUGAAUAGUUUUUUUAUUAUCUAUUAUGUUAUAUUAUGUAAAUAUUCCCCUUUUUUUUUUCAUUUUUAUGGUUGCAAUAAAUAUUUUAUAUCAUUUUAAAAACUUUAAAUGCGUUUUUCUCAAAAUGUAUUUUUAGGUGCAUGUUGUCCACAAGAAUCUCAAAAUCUUUAGUUCUGUAUAAUUUAGACUAAUAAUUUUUCACAUGUAGUUUAUUGAUAGUAUAUCAUAGGUAAUAGGCUGCAAAAAUUUUCAAAAUGUUUAAUUUUCAUAAAAAAAGAAAAAUAAUGAUGUGACCGCAGGUGAAAAAUGUGGUCGAAAAAAAAUAAAAAUUUUAAAAAUUCAUUUUGAGGUUAUGAUGCGACAAAAUGUAUUUAACCCAUAUACAUUUUUUUUUAGUAUACACUUCUUUCACUACAUCUUUAAUUAGGUGAUUUAAUGGCUGAAGGUUACAACCCAUGACUUCUGAACCUGGUAAAGACAAGGGCUUUGAGAUUCAGAAUAUUUAUGAUACCUCUAAGUCCACCAAACUCUAAUGGGUACUAAAAAUUAGAGUGUGGUAUCAGCCAGGAUAACCAACUACUUAGUAGGCUAAAGUUUAUAUUAUUGAUUAACAUGCAUGGCUAGAUUCAGUGGCGUCACUAGGGUCGGUGUCACCCAGUGCGGUAGGCUCAGGCCCCCCCCCCCCAAAGGAAAACGGAAUCUCUCCCUAAAAAUAAACAACUAUUGUGGGGUUUUUUUGUUUCUUAAAAUUGAACAAUAAAACUGUAAGCUAAAUUAUUGAUUUGUUACACCCGAAUUUAGGCAGUGUUAUCACGGAUUGGAAAGCAGGAGCCAUCUUUCAAAAAGCACGGCCAAUUUGAACAAACAAAUCAAUUAGCUUGGAGAUGAAAUCCACCUACUCAAAACAAUCAUUGUCCCAACGCCACCUUGAAAAAAGACUGAGCAGUGACGGCUGAGAAGGAUCAUUUGAAUAACAUACCGAGAUAAUGCUACCAAUAGAGAAAUAUUUUCCAUAUCAUUAGUGUCAAUGUGUAAUGCUGAGUUCUUGCUUCCUGAAGUACUCUAGACACGUGACAAGACGAAUAUUAUAAACUGACUGAAGCUCGUUUCAGCAGACAAACAUGAAGUUUAUUUUACUACAAUAAUAAUGAACUGCACUCCUUGUUAGUGCUACAAGUCAAGAAAUAAUAAUCCUAUCCGCAUAGCAGCGGUAUCAAAUGUAUCAAUCACGUCCGCAUCUCAGCGGGUAACAAUAAGAACAAUUACUACUAGUGACACUGGAGCUUCAACUAUAGAUAUCCAUUGAAAUACGAAUAAUACCUUAAUAUUCAAUAAGCACAUAAUGAAAUCAACUCUCAAAUAUUAUUAAUCAACAAUCAUCAGUCCAUCGACUUUCAUCCUAUAUACAUAUAUAUACACCAGUCCAGGAAGCAACGUCCAACCUUCCUGGACCGGGAGCAAAACCUUACUGACUUGACUUGACUUGACUGAACUCCAUAAAAGUCAACUUUAUUCAUUCUACUUCCUGUUUUCUACAUCAGGAAUUCCACGUGUCUUUUAAACUCUUAACAUGACGUGAACUUUAGAUCAUGCAAUGUCAACUAAGACUGUGACAAUUAGACAAGACGAAACAUGUUUACUUAAGUCAUCCUUAACACGAAAGCCGAAAAGAGGAGCGCAAAAACAUGCCGUCAACGUUUAAUCAUGGUGUCACACCGAUUCAAGAGGAAAGUGUAACGGACUUAGGUUAGUUCUUUGAGGGGCUAUUUAAAUGCCCCAAUUGUAUAUUGUCAAGAGAGGGGUGUGUAAAAAGUGAAAUUGUGUGUGUGUGUGUUUGUUUAUUUUAUUAGUUGAGUUGUAGAUUGUUUUUAGCACGGGGUUUUUCAAGGGGGGGGGGGGACAAUAAAGUUUCCUGUGGUCCGUCUAGUCAGAAAGCUGACCUUGUCUGAGUAGGGUGUUGGUGAUUGUUUUUCGGUUAUUAUGCCUAGAGUAAGGAGAUGUUAUAUUAUUAUUCUUGCUAUGUGUGCGUACUGAAUAUUUGGGGUAAUGCUAUGAUGUGUCAUGAUACCCUUAUGUAAUAUAUUAUAUUAUAUAUUAUAUUGUUUGCAGUAAAUAAAUACUAAUUUUCUA
Biomphalaria glabrata is the source of this 4170-nucleotide long non-coding RNA. RefSeq lists it as uncharacterized. The record is from RefSeq and is a predicted model, not a curated record. NCBI's taxonomy places the organism in Eukaryota, Metazoa, Mollusca, Gastropoda, Planorbidae. The transcript has 2 exons.